Molecule: transfer RNA, 69 nt
Filed under: Menura novaehollandiae (superb lyrebird)
Lineage: Eukaryota; Metazoa; Chordata; Aves; Passeriformes; Menuridae
Also listed under: 1 other name
Description: tRNA-Asp
Source: RNAcentral
GGGAGGUUAGUAAAGCAAUUACAAAGUCUUGUCAAGACUAAAUCGCAGGUGGAAACCCUGCACCCCCCC